Molecule: ribosomal RNA, 376 nt
Filed under: uncultured Alphaproteobacteria bacterium
Lineage: Bacteria; Pseudomonadati; Pseudomonadota; Alphaproteobacteria
Description: bacterial SSU rRNA
Rfam family: Bacterial small subunit ribosomal RNA
Source: RNAcentral
UAAGACGGAGGGGGCUAGCGUUGUUCGGAAUUACUGGGCGUAAAGGGCGCGUAGGCGGUCCUGCAAGUUAGGCGUGAAAGACCCGGGCUCAACCUGGGAGGUGCGCUUGAGACUGCGGGACUGGAGUCCGGGAGAGGUGAGUGGAAUUCCCAGUGUAGAGGUGAAAUUCGUAGAUAUUGGGAAGAACACCGGUGGCGAAGGCGGCUCACUGGCCCGGUACUGACGCUGAGGCGCGAAAGCGUGGGGAGCAAACAGGAUUAGAUACCCUGGUAGUCCACGCCGUAAACGAUGUGUGCUAGACGUCGGGGGGCAUAGCUCUUCGGUGUCGCAGCUAACGCAUUAAGCACACCGCCUGGGGAGUACGGCCGCAAGGUUA